ACUCCUACGGGAGGCAGCAGUGGGGAAUAUUGGACAAUGGGGGCAACCCUGAUCCAGCAAUGCCGCGUGAGUGAUGAAGGCCUUCGGGUUGUAAAGCUCUUUUGUCAGGGACGAUAAUGACGGUACCUGACGAAUAAGCUCCGGCUAACUUCGUGCCAGCAGCCGCGGUAAUAC
This 174-nucleotide ribosomal RNA is filed under the name uncultured bacterium. RNAcentral's name for it is "partial 16S ribosomal RNA". It matches the Rfam family "Bacterial small subunit ribosomal RNA", at positions 335 to 526 of the family's 1533-position model. The record is from RNAcentral.